RNAcentral lists this ribosomal RNA (497 nucleotides) under uncultured bacterium. Its description in RNAcentral is "partial 16S ribosomal RNA". It matches the Rfam family "Bacterial small subunit ribosomal RNA", at positions 28 to 507 of the family's 1533-position model. The record is from RNAcentral.
GACGAACGCUGGCGGCGUGCUUAACACAUGCAAGUCGAACGGACAGGCCUCUUUCGGGGGGUACUCGUGUUACCAACGGGUGAGUAACACAUGCGUAACCUGCCCUCGACUUUGGGAUAACUUCAGUAAACUGGGCCUAACACCUGCUAGAUGAUCCUUCUGCAUGGUUGGGUUAGGAAUGUUUCGGCGUCUGGGUGUGGCCUCUCGGCUUAUCCGCGCGGUAUUGGGUUGUUGGCAAGGUAACGGCUUACCAAGGAACCGAUGCAUAGCCGACCUGAGAGGGUGAUCGGCCACACUGGAACUGAGACACGGUCCAGACUCCUACGGGAGGCAGCAGUAGGGAAUCUUGCGCAAUGGGCGAAAGCCUGACGGAGCAACGCCGCGUGAGUGAUGAAGGUCUUCGGAUCAUAAAACUCUGUUAUUAGGGAAGAACAUAUGUGUAAGUAACUGUGCACAUCUUGACGGUACCUAAUCAGAAAGCCACGGCUAACUACGUG